This 253-nucleotide ribosomal RNA is filed under the name uncultured Gardnerella sp. RNAcentral describes it as "partial 16S ribosomal RNA". It matches the Rfam family "Bacterial small subunit ribosomal RNA", at positions 103 to 354 of the family's 1533-position model. The record is from RNAcentral. Lineage: Bacteria; Bacillati; Actinomycetota; Actinomycetes; Bifidobacteriales; Bifidobacteriaceae.
CGGGUGAGUAAUGCGUGACCAACCUGCCCCAUGCUCCAGAAUAGCUCUUGGAAACGGGUGGUAAUGCUGGAUGCUCCAACUUGACGCAUGUCUUGUUGGGAAAGUGUUUUAGUGGCAUGGGAUGGGGUCGCGUCCUAUCAGCUUGUAGGCGGGGUAAUGGCCCACCUAGGCUUCGACGGGUAGCCGGCCUGAGAGGGCGGACGGCCACAUUGGGACUGAGAUACGGCCCAGACUCCUACGGGAGGCAGCAGGC